GAUCUGGUGAUUUUGAAUGAUGAGCAUGAAUCUUUUAUUGAAGAUUCCCAAAUUAUAUUAUCUUCUCAUACAAUGCCCAGUUCCAGUGAUCUGCUGAUUUUGAAUAAUGAGCACAAAUCUUUUACUGAAGAUUCCCAAAUUAUAUUAUCUUCUCAUACAAUGCCCAGUUCCAGUGAUCUGCUGAUUUUGAAUGAUGAGGUAUUUAAUUUAAAUAAAACUAUACACUCUUUAAUAAUAAUUAGCAAACACACAAAGUUAUUGAAAAUUCUCCCCAAUUAUAUCUUUUUUUCAUCCAAUUAUCAAUCCCAAUGCAAGCCAAAAUAUUUCAAACAUUAAAGGCCCAAAUAUUAUUCAAUUAUAUAAAAAAAAGGAGCCUAAUGACCCUUUUCAUUUCAUAUUCUUUAGAAUGACAAAUAUCUUGAUUAAUUUCAUAAUUUCCAUAGGCCCAUGUCAGCCAUGUUCAAAUAUAUUUCAAUAUCCUGUUACUCACAAAAGGAGCAUGAAUAUAUCCUAUUAUAAAAAGGUUAAUAUUGAUGGUUCCCUCAAACCAAGAAAUUGGUUAUCCUAUAGCACCACUUUAGACAAAGUCUUUUGUCUUUAUUGUCUUAUGUUUGGUGGCCCUAAAUCCAAUACUUUUUGGACUCAACUUGGAGUAAAUAAUUGGAAAAAUUUUAAGCGUGACUUAGAGAGACAUGAGUCAUCUUCUAUUCAUAAGGAUUGUGAAUACACCAACAUGACUCUUGGCUUGCAAAUAAGCGUAUUCAAGAUCAUUUUCUAUCAAAUAGGCUUGAUAUAAUAAUGGAAAAUCGUAAUAUAGUUCAUAAUAUUAUUGAUGCCAUUAUAUACCUUAUAAAAUGUAACAUAGCCUUUUGGGGCACUAAUUCGAAUGAAGGUAAUUUUAUGUGCCUCAUAAAAUUAAUGGCAAAAACGGUUCCAACUUUACGGGCAUACAUUGAUAACAACGAAAAAUUGAGGAGAAAAAAAUCAGAUAAAAUUUCAAGACCUUAUAUAAAUUUAUUGUCAUAUGGCCAUGUGAAAAAAAUUAUUGAAGUCAUUAAGAUAAAAAUAAUAAAA
Gordionus sp. m RMFG-2023 is the source of this 1074-nucleotide long non-coding RNA. RefSeq lists it as uncharacterized. The record is from RefSeq and is a predicted model, not a curated record. The transcript has 4 exons. NCBI's taxonomy places the organism in Eukaryota, Metazoa, Nematomorpha, Gordioida, Chordodea, Parachordodidae.